RNAcentral lists this unclassified non-coding RNA (270 nucleotides) under plant metagenome. Its description in RNAcentral is "partial contains 5.8S ribosomal RNA, internal transcribed spacer 2, and large subunit ribosomal RNA". The record is from RNAcentral.
GUCGCCGUUGAGCACGGACUGGGCGUCCGAGACGGACGUGUCCGUGCGGUGAUCAGUCACCAUCGUGUAUGGGUGAAGCACGUAGGAUCGAAUCCGAUAGCCGAAGCCGGCGUUCGUGUGCUCGCCCUUGAGCCUCGACCGCUCGUCCGCCUCAGCAUUCAUUUUCCGCUCGAGCAAGCGUGCGCGCAGGAUCUUGAACGCCGAUUCCCGAUUCUGCAGCUGACUUCGCUCGUUCUGGCAGGUGACGACGAUCCCGGUCGGAAGGUGAGU